UACGGGGGGGGCAAGCGUUGUUCGGAAUUACUGGGCGUAAAGGCUCGUAGGCGGCCAACUAAGUCAGACGUGAAAUCCCUCGGCUUAACCGGGGAACUGCGUCUGAUACUGGAUGGCUUGAGUUCGGGAGAGGGAUGCGGAAUUCCAGGUGUAGCGGUGAAAUGCGUAGAUAUCUGGAGGAACACCGGUGGCGAAGGCGGCAUCCUGGACCGACACUGACGCUGAGGAGCGAAAGCGUGGGGAGCGAACAGG
This 252-nucleotide ribosomal RNA is filed under the name uncultured bacterium. Its description in RNAcentral is "partial 16S ribosomal RNA". It matches the Rfam family "Bacterial small subunit ribosomal RNA", at positions 524 to 776 of the family's 1533-position model. The record is from RNAcentral.